Molecule: long non-coding RNA, 6842 nt
Organism: Equus caballus (horse)
Lineage: Eukaryota; Metazoa; Chordata; Mammalia; Perissodactyla; Equidae
Source: Ensembl
GUGCAAGAUUCCUGUGGCCAGGGAUGGUGCCCUGUUCAGGAUGGGAACCUGAGUGCCUAGCACAGUGCCUGACACAGGAGAGGGACCAAAUUAUUUGUUGUUUGAAACCGAGGACCAUCAGAGAAAAAUAGGGAUAAUUAAAUGUUUAUUAUCGUAACCAGAGAUCUUCUGAAUGUGGUCAGAAGAAUCAGCACCACCUUCAAUUCUUCUUGCUUAGUCAUCUGUUUUGUCAGUAUUUCAACAUAGAGACAAAAAUGCCUCCAGUAUUCUGAAGUUGAGGGAACAGACACUGUGCCUUUCUCACACCUGAGGACGCAGUGAGUCAUAACAGGAUGCUAAUGUUUGCUGGAAACACCGUCUCUCUGUUCUGUGAAGCCCACCAUCAUUCAUAAUCAGCUGUGCCAUCUCCAGAUGUGUUCUUUUGCUAUAAGUCAUCAACGUGUAGCCUGAGCUGGGAAGCACAUUCAUACUGUUGGACCACCUGUUACUGGAACAGAUCGUGUUCAGGGCUUAGCAUGGACAGCUUGUACUUGAUCCACUGUCUACUGCACUUUGAAGCUGGGGUGAGCUCGAGGCUGGAGGCUCAAGCCAUCUGAAGACUCGCUCACCCACACAUCUGGCAGUUGUGUGGCGGCACACCUACACAUGGCCUCUGUAUGUAGCACUUCGGCUUCCUCACAGAAUGUUGGAUGUGUCCCAAGGAAGUGUGGAUUAACAGACAAAAGCACUGCAGAGCUGAAGUCUACAUUUUAAAGAGAAUAUUUAAUAAGCAGCAACAAUGUAUGGAGUGCUACUGUGAACCUGCAAUGUCACAGGCAGUGGGACUCUAGCAGAAGACCAAAACGGACCUGAUCUCCAUCCUGAUGGAGCUGACAUUGUGAUGCAGUAUUUCUCAAACUGUUUGUUAUCAUCCAUUACUGGGGGGUAAAAUCAAUGCUGUGUAACAAGACCUACAUUAGUUUUUUAAAAAAUUAAUAUAGAAUGCAAUAUAAAUUAUCAGAGCAUAUCACAUGUACAAGGGUAAGUUUUGUUUCAGUCAUAUAUAUUUCUGUAUGUGCACUGGAUUGCAGUAUGUUUUCUUAUUGCAAUUAUGUUUUUGUGUUGAAAAAAGGCACUGGUCUUCGUAGGACUUUACAUAGCUAAUAUAUUAUUGAUGCCUUCUUUUUACAGAAUAUAGGGAUUUAGGUCAUCUUAGAGAGAUAUACAAAACAGGAAGAUAACAUAAAUUAGAAAAUGAUGUAAAGAAACAAGAAGAUAGUGACAUAUAUUAAAGCCAGAAAUGAGACUAAGCUCUCUCGAAUGCAUUCUUAAAUACUUGCAAACUGGGGGAGUUCAUUUUGGCUUUAAUUUUUGUGGUCAAAUAAAAAGAACAAGAAAGGGAAGGCUGAUCAGUUCCAUCAGUUAUCUAAAAGGUCAACGCUCAGGAGUUACAUCUAGGACUGGUAGGAAGGCCAGAAAGAAGUUUGUCCCCAGGGUUCUCCUUAGGAAGAGACUCUAAAAUGCAACACUUUCUCCAUACAAGUAAACACUCAGUUCCAUGACCAUCUACAGGAGAUUAAUUAAUGUUAUUCCUUUCCUUCCUGUCCUAUUCUAUAAUACUCUCCAGGCUCAGAUACACAAGGGAAAGAAAUGGCAUAAAACCCUUGAGAAAAACAUAGAAGGGUGCCAUUUGAACAUCGAUUAAAAUCAACACAGAUUCCGCACUUGGGAAUUGUCAAGUCUAAAUGAGCUUUCUUAGGAAUUCGUUCUUCAGGCACCAACAAUUUUACUAGCUUUGACAAUAAUCCGUACAAUUUUCAUAGGUAAAUCCAACUUUUGCUUCUUCAACUUAGCAAAAUUUAUAAUCACGGGAAAUAAAAUUUUUUGAAACACAUUCACUAUGAGGUGCAUAAGAACAAAAACUAGCUACUUAAUAAGUAUGCAAAAAUGCAGCCCUAAGUAGUAGAAAAUGAAGUCCAUUUAUCUCUUGUUAUGAGUAUUUCUUAAACCCAGCUCCACAGAUAAAAUGUCAAAUUGCUAACCCUGGUUAUUAGUAAUCAUAAUCAAAUGAUGAUAGAAGCCAACUUCCCCAGGGAGAAAAUGUUUGAAAUUUUGACAGGAUGUAGAACAAAGCUAUUAGAAUGGGCUGCUCUGGGGUUGAUUGGUUGUCAUGAUCUAGAGAAAGUAUUUGGCAGGAUCUUAACUUUCAGAUCUUCAUCCUGCUGCCACCUACAAAUGCACCCGCUUUCUGAGAAGGACAUGGUUAGAAUAUAUGCUAAACGAAUCCGCUUGCUUGAUCACCAGCUGACAUGGAUCCCAAAUCACUAUUUUCACGCCAGUCCUAAUGAUGUAGGCUCCGUGGGAUGCGAGCACGGAGACAGCGGCAGGUCACUCAUUUCAUAGCUCAAUUUCCCAGAUGCUAUCUUAGUCCCCUCUUCUUCCAAGGGUCAACCCAGAGACACAGCGCAGCUGUCUGAAGGAGCAGAAGUCCCUGGGUGCAGAGGGUUUCUAAAGGAGCGGUAUCUGCUCUAGUCCAGUUUCGUUCAAAACUCCCAAGUUAUGGCUCCUUAUGUGCCUUAUGUGGUUAUCCAAUUAGAGCCCCCAAAAACUCCAUUUUUCUUCAAGUUGAUUUUAAGAGCUUCCCCCUGCACGGUACAGAAAGGGAGACAGAAGGAGAUGUGCACACCCCACCUGAAGGCUCAAGUGUGCCUCACACAAUGUUGCCAGAAGAGCCCGGCUUCCAGCAUGGACCAGCUCGCUUGUUUAGAACACAACUCUAAUAAGGGUAAGAGGGGGUGACAUUCAGAUCCCUUAUGCAGCUGGUGAACCCAAUGAGUUUACCUUGGAGGGAGAACAGUCAGGAGCUGACUGCUUUUUUCUCUCCUUGUGGUCCUCAGACAUCUCCAUUGUCAGACUUGCCCCCUGAAAUCAUCUGAGGUCCCAGAGUUUUCAGUCAUGCCUCUUUCCGGUAAUUAGGACUCGUUUUCAGGCUUUAAAACUUCCUAGUCCAUUCCAAUGCAGAAGUUCAACCUUACACUCUUACAGUCAAUAUAAUAAUCUUAUAGUAGUAGCACUUCCAUCCCUUGGCUUCAGAACUUCAGCGGGGUGAUGCAGUCAGAAGGUGGGAAAGACGCAAAGCUCCAGGGGUCCCCGUGAUUGGUGCAGUCGUGGUCCAACAGCAGGUGCCUCUGUGAGGCAGGCGGCACCAGAGGCCCUCUGAGCACAUUUGUGAGUUUCUUUGGGAGGCUUCCUGUGUAGCUUUCUGAAACUCUUGCUUGAUUUCCAGACAGGGCAAAGUACAAUCUUCCCUUUACUUACUCAAUAGUUGCAUUCCUGAAAAAUUAGAGCAUGUUAAGAUGGCGCCAAAAGUACUGGGUAUUUACAUGUAUAAUGGAGUUAAGGUCUGGGUUCGGAGAUUUAUAAAGAGGUUUUUCACCAAUGAGACAUUUGAAGGCUGUAGGGGAAGUGGGACGCUUCUCUGUCCUGAGCAUUGCAGAUGUCAAGUAUCCCCACCUCCUCCCACUAAAUGUCAGAGACAGCACUCCCACCCCCUCAUCCUGGUGACGGCCAAAAUUACCCCCUCAUAUUUCCAGAAAUGCCCCAGCGGGGAAUUGUACUGCCCUCAGUGAGCCCUCUAGCCCCUACUUUUUGAACAUGGGACACUUAUCGCCUCCUGUCCUCAACUCUGAGCUUUUAGCUGAAUCUCGAGACAGGAGUCCGGACUAAGAAAAUCCCUACUAGGGGUUUUAGAUUAAACUAUACUUACUGUGCUAAGCACUACAUAUAAAUUCUUGUAAAAUUGUGUUAGGUUAAAUUUCAGCAAAUGAGGAAACUCAGAACAGUUAAAUAACUUAUCUGAGGUCAUUCAGCUAAUAAAUAGCAGCAUCAGAAUUUGAAUCACAGGCUUCUGAUCUAAUACAUUUAAAUAACUAAAUUGGAUUUUUGUAAGAAAGAACAAAGAAAAAACAAUAAUCACAUUAUAAAAUGGAGCCAUGAUAAAGUUUAUAUUCGUAAAAUGCUUGCCAUAAAGUUCAACAUACUGCCUAAGGCUGGACCACAAAUUUUCCUCUGAAAUAAAAACAGGGAAACAUUUUCAACUACACCAUUCACAAACUCACAAAGUUAAACUAAAGAGAAUCACUUUCCCUAACUUUAAGCCUACCUUUCUUUCUGAAAUUCUGUGGUCCAAAUUAUCUAUUGCCCCCAUUUGGCAUUUAGUCCAUAUUAGCUUGUACAGCUAUUUAUCUCUUUACUGAAAAUUCAGUAAAUUUGACCUUUUGAGAAUUUUCCUUGGGCUCAUUUUGAAAGGUACUGUAGAAUGUUGAUUUUGUGAAAAAUGAUGAUGAUCCUAGCUCCCUAAGCUGUCUGGAGCCUGCUCUCCAUCCUCAGCGUUACUCACUGGUAUCCUGACUAUCUCCUCAGCUCUGGCAUGGCUCCAAACUGUCCCCCACAUUGCUGCUAAAUUCUUCUUUCUAAAAUGCACGUCUAACUGUACCUCUUAUCUGCUUCAACUAUUCCAGUGAGUUCUUAAUAGCAAUAGGAUAAAGGCUAAACCCUCACAGCGUGGCGGUAAACUUUUCUAUGACUCUCUGGUUCCUGAUUAUUCCAGUCUAAUCCUAUGCCCGCUCAUACCCAACAUUACCAUCUAUUGAACAACUUUGUGCACAGCAAAGCUUUUUGGACCUGGAGCAACUUGCUCAUGCUGUUCUUCUUGCUUGGAAUACCCUUCAUAUCCCAUGCUCCCGUUACAUAUGUCUUCCUUGCUUCGCUCAAGCAUCAUUGCAUUAGUGAGGUUUCAAUUACUAUAGGCUAGGUAGUAAAUAAGCCCCCCCAGUUUUGGUGGACCACAAUGAUAAUCACUUAUCUUGUAAGAGAGCAAAAAGGGGCUCGUUCUGCUUGCCACAAUCUGGUGCCAAUCAAUUGCAAACAAUCCGGUGGUUGAGAAAGGCAAAUUGAUAUGAUUAGCCAGCAUAAUCGGAAGAUGAUGGACUAGUGCCCUGAAGAACCAUCUUAAAAUCAUAAGACUCCUGAGGCAGUUGUAGAGGGGAAAUGGGCGGGGAAGGCGGGGAGUUGGGGAAAUCGAUUAUCUGGUGUGAUGAAAUUCAAGGCACCACAUUAUCUCUUUCUUCUGUCAUUCGUGAUGGGUACCAAUGCAGCAAUUUUCUUUCUGGAGGUCGUAGUGUUCCUGGGGAACUCAGAGAACAAAGCUGUCUUACCACAGCUGGGAGAUAUAUGUAAGCAAGACUCAUAGAAUUAGCAGAUCGUGUAUUUUGUAAAAGCAAAAGGUGCUUAAUCAUCUAGGCUACCUGCAGGUUGGAAUGUAUUCACAGAGACUAGUGAGUCAGGGUCAUGGUUACAAUAUUGCUUCUUUUCCCUAAGAUGGCUUCCCUCAUGUUAACUUAAGAUCUAGUGGUUACAAUUUCAUGCUCACAGGUUUGCAGGUCAGCCAAGGGAGCUCUGUGAGGCUGUGGGUCAGGUUUAUAUUUGCUCCUCGUAUCUCUCAUUAUGGGACCUAGGGCUACCCACGGCCUAUUUUUCUUCUGGUGGAUGGUAGGUCAAGAGCAGCAGUCAAUCACCAAAGCACAUUUAAAGCUCUUUAACAUUCUGUUGCCCCAUGCAAGUCACAUGGCCAAGCACAAAGUCAAUGGGUUGGAAAAGUAUACUCUGCCUCUUCAACAGUCAGAGUCACAGUAACGUCUCACGGAAACUGGUGUGGAUGCCUAAUUCUGUUAUGGAGAAGUAGUGAAGACCUGGGAACUAGAAUUCAAUUGGUCCUAAUCAUCUCUAUGAAGCUUUCUCUAACUAUCCCAAGUCCUUGAUAAAAUGAUCACUCCUUUCUUUGUGGACCCACUCACAACAGACAUAAUUCUAUAAUAGCAUCUUUAACAUAUUUAAUAAACUCCCUUCUUUAAGUGUCUGUCCUCCUCUAUUACAUGGUAAAAUCUCAUUUUAUUCACCUUUGUGUUUUUCAAGUUUAUCACAGACCGUGGCACACAUCAAUAAAUAGUUGUUGAAUUAAUUAUUUAAUUUUUAACUAAGUACAUUGAGCAAAAGAGUGUAAAGCACAAAGAGGAUAAAGUAUUAAGAGUAUAAAGUAUAAGAGUAUAAAGAAUCUAAAUGGACCAUGAAAAAUCUCAACCACAAAUAGGAAAACAAGUUGUAGAUCAUUCAAUCAAGUUCAUAAAGAGAGGAGGCCCGUUGAUUACCCAUCUGUCUUUGAAAGCAUGAUAUAAAGAUGUCCAAGGCAAAGACUGUUGGGAGUAUGUGUCUGGUUUCCUGUGAGCACGUGGGGCAAUUGCUUAAGACUGGUUUGAUCCAGAUGUGGUGGACCUGCUGCUGUGGGCGGGAAGGGAGCUCUUGCCCAGGGAAAGUGUGGUGAGAGUCUGUUAGAAGGAGGAAACCUCAAAGGAAAAACGGUUCUGAGACCUUAUUUACGACAACGUUUUGUGUAGCCCUUUAAGUGGGGAAGUGGCUACUUUUUAAACAAAAAUUGGUCUGUUGAAAAAAGAAAAAAAAGGGACAUUGGUCAUUUGUUCUUGUAGAUCAUGCAACAAACAAAAAUGUCUCUGAAAGAAUGCAUGGUGUUUAUUUAUAAGAUGGGAUUAAAUUUGUGAAACUUCAGUUUAAUUAAAAUUAUUUUUCAUAUUUGCAACCGUCCACAACAUAUCUGUACAUGAACACAGAGGUGACGAGGAAGAAUCGUCUCCCCCCACCCUUGCUUUAAGGUUCUUAUGGCCCGUCAAAUAGAAAGGCAGGUUAGCAGGAGAAAAUAAAACAAAGUUUAGGAACAUGCAUACAUGGGAGAAACCCAGGAGAACUGAGCAACUCACCACAAUGGCCAAAGUUAUCCCCUUAAAUAUCAU